Molecule: ribosomal RNA, 911 nt
Filed under: uncultured bacterium
Lineage: Bacteria
Description: bacterial SSU rRNA
Rfam family: Bacterial small subunit ribosomal RNA
Source: RNAcentral
UGAAUAAGCAUCGGCUAACUCCGUGCCAGCAGCCGCGGUAAUACGGAGGAUGCGAGCGUUAUCCGGAUUCAUUGGGUUUAAAGGGUGCGCAGGCGGACUAAUAAGUCAGUGGUGAAAUCCCAUAGCUCAACUAUGGAACUGCCAUUGAUACUGUUAGACUAGAGUAUAAUUGACGUAGGCGGAAUGCGACAUGUAGCGGUGAAAUGCUUAGAUAUGUCGCAGAACACCGAUUGCGAAGGCAGCUUACGAAACUAUAACUGACGCUCAUGCACGAAAGCGUGGGGAUCAAACAGGAUUAGAUACCCUGGUAGUCCACGCCCUAAACGAUGAUUACUCGUUGUUGGCCUGCACAGGUCAGUGGCUAAGGGAAACCGAUAAGUAAUCCACCUGGGGAGUACGAUCGCAAGGUUGAAACUCAAAGGAAUUGACGGGGGCCCGCACAAGCGGAGGAGCAUGUGGUUUAAUUCGAUGAUACGCGAGGAACCUUACCUGGGCUCGAACGUGAGAGGAAUAUAGAGGAAACUUUAUAGCUAGCAAUAGUCUCUUACGAGGUGCUGCAUGGUUGUCGUCAGCUCGUGCCGUGAGGUGUCAGGUUAAGUCCUAUAACGAGCGCAACCCCUACUUCUAGUUGCCAGCAUGUCAUGAUGGGGACUCUAGAGGAACUGCCGGCGCAAGCCGUGAGGAAGGUGGGGAUGACGUCAAAUCAGCACGGCCCUUAUGUCCAGGGCGACACACGUGCUACAAUGGUCGAUACAGAGGGCAGCUACCUGGUGACAGGAUGCAAAUCUCAAAAGUCGAUCUCAGUUCGGAUCGGAGUCUGAAACUCGACUCCGUGAAGUUGGAUUCGCUAGUAAUCGCGCAUCAGCCAUGGCGCGGUGAAUACGUUCCCGGGCCUUGCACACACCGCCCGU